This 253-nucleotide ribosomal RNA is filed under the name uncultured bacterium. RNAcentral describes it as "partial 16S ribosomal RNA". It matches the Rfam family "Bacterial small subunit ribosomal RNA", at positions 524 to 776 of the family's 1533-position model. The record is from RNAcentral.
UACGAAGGUCCCAAGCGUUGUUCGGAAUAACUGGGCGUAAAGCGUGUGUAGGCUGCGCGGAAAGUCAAAUGUGAAAGCCAAGGGCUCAACCCUUGAACUGCAUUCGAUACUCCCGUGCUAGAGUAAUGGAGAGGUAAGUGGAAUUCCUGGUGUAGCAGUGAAAUGCGUGGAUAUCAGGAGGAACAUCAAUGGCGAAGGCAACUUACUGGACAUUUACUGACGCUCAGACACGAAGGCUAGGGGAGCGAAAGGG